CCGAGUUUACAACUCCCAAACCCAUGUGAACAUACCUCUCGUUGCUUCGGCGGAUCAGCCCGCUCUGCCCGGUAAACCAGGGACGGCCCGCCAGAGGUACCCUAAACUCUUGUCUUCAUAUAUGUAACUUCUGAGUGCAAACCAUAAAUAAAUCA
RNAcentral lists this unclassified non-coding RNA (155 nucleotides) under soil metagenome. Its description in RNAcentral is "partial internal transcribed spacer 1". The record is from RNAcentral.